CCCACGGCCCCCCCGAGCGGGGCACCGGCACUGCCCGCGGGUCGGGCUGCGCGAAGCCGCGCUCGGACGCCGGGUCUCGGCCGACGAGGAAGCGCCCGGCCCGGGCUGCACUUGGGAGACUGAGGCGCGCUCAGCAUCCUCGGUCUUUUCUUCUUUUUUUCGCCCCAAUUUUGAAGUCCAGACCUUCAACUUUGCUGUCGUUCACUCUUCCUAACAACAAACCCCUUUUUCGUGCAACUUUGUGAAUUUGGAAUUGUACAUAAAAGCAUUUUAAAUAACUUUCACGUUUCAAUUAUGCUAUACAAUGCGGCAUGUUGCAAUAAGCCCUUCCGCUUAAAGGGUUUAAGUUGACAAUAUCAAAGAAAAAAAAACAAACAGGAAGCUAAUGUGACAUUUAUUUUUCCUUCUCAGAGGGAAAACUGGCAGUUUAAGUUGUGGCCGACCAAGAACCAGCCUUUUCCUGACACAGCCUCCUGCGCCAUCAGAGUAAACAGCACUGCACACCAAACUCUGGGGCGCACUUCUGCAAUCUCAGAGCUGCACAAGUGUGACCGAGCCAGGACUUUUUAACCAACAUGGCUGCUGCAGGCCUACUGAACACGGCGCUUGGCCCGCGGAGCCUUGAUCCACACUGGUGGUCCGCAGAGAUCAAGGUGGAUCCACAGGGCUGACAUAAUACACUCAAAUAUAAAAUUGUUUUUAAAUGCAGUUGAUCGAAUUUGAGAUUCAGUCACACAGGAGGAAAGCACGGAGCCUCAUGAAACCACUCUUGCCACCUCUCGGAGCGGACAGGUGCUUUAAGGAGACCUCGUAAGCUAUACAAACAGGCAGGCAGAGCGGACAGUGACAAGCAUGAGUUUCAGAGGACGCCGUUCAGGAUUGGCAAGGCAAUGAGGAAAAUGUUGAUAAUCCCAAAUGGGUAUCAAAAUCCCUACUAAUGCAACUUCACCGAGCUUAGACUUCAUGAUCAUGCCUGGAAGACAACUGCAACACAGUUUUUUCUUUAUUUUACUUGUGAAUGGAACUUGUAACUGAAUAUAACUCUAGAUAAAUCUAGAUACACACACA
Long non-coding RNA from Dromaius novaehollandiae (emu), 1068 nucleotides. RefSeq lists it as uncharacterized. NCBI's taxonomy places the organism in Eukaryota, Metazoa, Chordata, Aves, Casuariiformes, Dromaiidae. The transcript is spliced from 2 exons. The record is from RefSeq and is a predicted model, not a curated record.